Molecule: ribosomal RNA, 431 nt
Filed under: uncultured bacterium
Lineage: Bacteria
Description: partial 16S ribosomal RNA
Rfam family: Bacterial small subunit ribosomal RNA
Source: RNAcentral
AACGAACGCUGGCGGCAGGCCUAACACAUGCAAGUCGAGCGCGCCUUCGGGUGAGCGGCGGACGGGUGAGUAACGCGUGGGAAUAUGCCCUUCUCUACGGAAUAGUCCUGGGAAACUGGGGGUAAUACCGUAUACGCCCUUUGGGGGAAAGAUUUAUCGGGGAAGGAUUAGCCCGCGUUGGAUUAGGUAGUUGGUGGGGUAAUGGCCUACCAAGCCGACGAUCCAUAGCUGGUUUGAGAGGAUGAUCAGCCACACUGGGACUGAGACACGGCCCAGACUCCUACGGGAGGCAGCAGUGGGGAAUCUUAGACAAUGGGGGCAACCCUGAUCUAGCCAUGCCGCGUGAGUGAUGAAGGCCUUAGGGUUGUAAAGCUCUUUCAGCUGGGAAGAUAAUGGCGGUACCAGCAGAAGAAGCCCCGGCUAACUCCGUG